Long non-coding RNA from Rhineura floridana, 1486 nucleotides. RefSeq lists it as uncharacterized. NCBI's taxonomy places the organism in Eukaryota, Metazoa, Chordata, Lepidosauria, Squamata, Rhineuridae. The transcript is spliced from 2 exons. The record is from RefSeq and is a predicted model, not a curated record.
CUCAUUAUUCUGGUUUUGCUUGUACUUAGAAUAAUUUUUUUAAUUACCUCUUGCCUCACCUCUUGGACAUAACAAAAGGGUGUCGCACAGAGAAGGGCCAGGAUCUCUUCUCGAUCAUCCCAGAGUGCAGGACAUGGAAUAAUGGGCUCAAGUUACAGGAACCCAGAUUUCAACUGAACAUCAAGAAAAACUUCCUAACUGUUAGAGAGAUGUCAACCAAGGUUCUGACUGGAUCACUGGCCAGAGCAGCAAGAAAACCCUAACAAGAUAUGUGUUGGGCCAGAUAUAAUCUGAGAAGGAAGAAUGCAUGAAUACCUAUCAUGUAGGAAAGCACUGAUGUUGCAGUUAUAAAUUUCCAUGAUGUUAAGCCUGGAACUUGUUAUAUUGGAAGCAGCCCUAUGAUUGUAAUCCUAUGCGCAGUUACCUACUGAAGAAUGUCAUGUUUCUGAAUAAAUGCAGAAAUUGUGCUGCAGAAAUCUCAUCUUUGAUAGAUGGAGACUGAAGUAAAGGCUUCAUAGUCAAGUUUGUGCUCACAAAGAAAAUGUAAUAAUGAAAGAAUGCCACGCAGUGUCUUAAUUUACUCCUUCUGUAUUGAUCACUAAGUGGCAGCUAUCCUUUUCAGGCCUUCAUUCCUUUUGUUUGAGAAGAUUUAAUUCUGAAGCAUAGUUAACUUAUUUGUGUAUUUCAAUAUCUAUGAGAAAACACAGCUAGGCCUGCUGAGAGUAGUUGGGAUUUGAAUAACUAUUUUGAAAUAGCUUAAUAUUUACUGUUGUUGUCUCUACUGUCUUGAAUAUUUCAUGUCACACAAUCACCAGUUCAGUAAACAAAGCCAAGAGAAAACAAAUAUACAAAUAAAGCAAUAAAUCUAUAGCUAAUAAAAUUAAUGUCACAGUUCCAAGGGCUUUGUGGUAAGUCUCACUGAUUUUAAAUUUUAAACAUUUUUAAGAUAGUCAUUCUAAGAUUAUGAACAGCUAAAGACAAAGAUGCAUUCACACUGACAUUUAACAGUGGAUUUAGAAUGAAACCUGCACAUCAAACUUCCCAUUUAGUGGUGGGUUUACUUAUUUCUACUGGUAGUUUCAUCUUAAAACCAGCUAAGGCAUAUCUGUAAUUGCACAAAUCCUUAUCUAUGUUGUACAUUAUCACAAUGAAUGUGGGAAGGCUUGUCUCAUCCCUUUGUUGUUCAUUUCUGUAGAUCUUUCUGGUCCUUGGAAUAGGUGAUUCAAUAGUACACCAGCUAUAUUUUUUAUUUCAAAAUUUCUUUUAUUUCAUUAUUUCAACAUUACAAGUGAACAUAAGCUAAUCCUUCAUAUAUCUGGCCACCCCACUUAUUGUCAUCUACCGGAUACAAAUCUUGUGGAUUUGCUUUGAGUAGAAUAUGAGUAUUGGUUUGUUAGCCUAAGAAUUUUCAAGAGGGAAUGAACAUAUAAAAAUGUGUGUAUAAAUAUCUAAAAUGAUCUUCAAUUAAAUUAUUUCAAACUUCAUG